GAGCAUAAAGGUGAGGCUAGGGGCGAUUAAGAAGAAGAGGAACGCUGUGUUGAACUAUCUGAAGAAUAAUGUUGUUGAUCUUCUCAAGAUUGGCCUUGAUAUUAAUGUAUAUGGAAGGGUUCUCACCCAAAAAAUAAAGAACCUCAUUUUUGUGCUGCUGUGGGUGGAGCUGGGAGCAGCGCAGCAACUUGAAAAGGCAUGGCUGAUGCUGUAGCAGAUAUGACAAAAAGAUCAGCAUACUUUCAACAAAUUGAAGAAGAUGUUCUGAAAUAUUCAAAGGCUUUAACAGAUAUGAGAACUAUCGUGAGUUUUUUCCAAACAAAAGACAUGAAUGAGCUGCUAGAGUUCCACAAGAAAUUAGAAUCCAUUCUUGAACACUUGACUGAUGAGACACAGGUCUUAUCAAGGUUUGAAGGAUUCCCUACAAAGAAGUUAAAAACAAUGAGGACAGCAGCAACACUCCACUCAUAGUUAAAUGCAUUGAUCACAGAACUACACAAUUGGAAAAUAGGAAGAGCGGUUGAAGUGGAUGAUUGUUGUGGAGAUUAUGAAUGAAUCUCCAGCCCAUUUGCUUGGUUCUACAAAGCUAUUCACACAAGUCAGUUCAUUUCUAGCUCUGGCAGUAACUGUUGUUGCAGAAGUUGUCAAAACAAUGGUUGCCAAGGGAUAUGUUCUGGGACAAGAUGCAUUAAUCAAGGGGAUUUGUCAAAACAAUGAGUUAGGUCAUGAUACUUAGCCUACCGGGCGUCAGUAUUAUGUAUUUCAGUUUUUGU
Molecule: long non-coding RNA, 773 nt
Organism: Rosa rugosa (rugosa rose)
Lineage: Eukaryota; Viridiplantae; Streptophyta; Magnoliopsida; Rosales; Rosaceae
Exons: 6
Source: RefSeq, a predicted model, not a curated record